Long non-coding RNA from Cornus florida, 320 nucleotides. RefSeq lists it as uncharacterized. The record is from RefSeq and is a predicted model, not a curated record. NCBI's taxonomy places the organism in Eukaryota, Viridiplantae, Streptophyta, Magnoliopsida, Cornales, Cornaceae. The transcript has 2 exons.
AGUUGAAGGUAGCAAGCUGAAAAAUCUGUGUUGCGGACCGAAAAUUUGGGGCGAUUUCAUUUCGGUCGUAAUUGGGAUUUUCAUUCCAAUUGAGGUACAGGACUCAGGAUUUGAAGAUUCCAUUGCUCCUUGGAUGGCUUACAGUUUCUAAGUUUCUAUUUUAUGCAAGUGUUAGCAUAAGAUGCCUCUUUGUAGCCCUAUUUGUUUAAAUUUGUAUUCGUUGAUUCGUAUAUGUAAAGUGUACGUAAGUGCACUCUUUUCAAUGUAUUUAACAUGUAUGAGAUGAGGCCGGAGGCCAAUGACAUGUAUCUCAUUUUCUA